This is a long non-coding RNA of Passer domesticus (house sparrow), 1170 nucleotides long. RefSeq lists it as uncharacterized. The record is from RefSeq and is a predicted model, not a curated record. The transcript is spliced from 4 exons. Lineage: Eukaryota; Metazoa; Chordata; Aves; Passeriformes; Passeridae.
UUUGGCCACUUGAAGGGUAACCUCAGCUAAACAUUGUAAAUGAGGAAAGCUCACAGAGGUGACUUGUGCCUCUCUCAGCUUUCAGCUCCAGUGAUACCCUUGCCUACUCAGCCAUAGUGCCUGAUGCUGUUCCUGUUUACCCCUCUGGCAGCAGUUCCCCAGUGUAACAAAUGGAGUUGUGCUGGUCUGGCACUCUCUGUUUAAAAAUGACGUAUGGUUAAGUAUUUUAAAUUUACCAAAUUGUUAAUGAUUUUCAAAGGCUUUAAUUGAGUGAUUAUAGCAGCCAUUGAUUUUGCAGGCUUCAACCUACACUAUAAUUCAGACACUCUGCAAAGGAAGUCAUGCACAAUCGGAUUUAGCCAUCAUUCACAGUGAGGCCUGCACAAUUACCAUUGCAAACAUCAGAGACAAUGUGGCAGCCUCCCUGCGAGCCUCGCUACAAGCCAGUGCUGAGUGCCAUCUGGAGAGCUGAUGCCGAAGUCAAGCAACAACAUCCUGUCAUAUUUUAUCUGGAACUUUGGAACAGAACAACUAAUAACAUCUUAAGCUUCAUUUGUCUGGCUCUCUCAUGCUCUUGGCAGAGGUCAUAAGCAAUGGUGGCUUUGCUGAUUUGCUGCAUCAAAACUAAUUAGGUUACAGUGCUCACUGGCAGAGCCUCUCAUAAUGGCAUAAAAACCUCGGGCUUUAACUUUACCCAUUAUGUCAAGCAGCAAGAAUGCCCCAGUCUGACUAGAUGGGGUUUGUAUGUCAGUGCACUAAGAAUGACUCCUGCUGCCUCUGAAGAAAGCCUGGUGGUGAAUCUGGGUGCUGCAGACUUGAGAAGCUGCUGUCAACAAACUCAAGGAGACAAGAAAGAGCCCAGGGCCCUUUGGUGACUGGCAGAUUCAGUCACUUAAAUGCUGAGCCCAAAGCUGAAGCCUGAGCAGAGUCUGUUUCACAGACUGUGAAUGCCAUUGGAAACUUUUUUCAUUUUAGCUUGUUGUUUAAAAGCAUCAGCCAUCUGAGGACAAUUCAUUUCCAGGAUUUUAUAUAACAUGCAAAGUACUGUAAGGGGAUAUUUUUAAUGUAUUUGUAGUUUGCUCUAGUAUCAUAGAGCAGGGAGAAUGUCUUAGCUUGGUUUUUUUCCAUUCCUGUAGCCUGUACUAUAGAUAUAGAUAAUACCAUUCAAGA